GGGGGAAAGGGCGGUUGGUGGCCAGGGUGGGGUUGGGGGGAGGAAAAGGGGAGGGGGAUAAAGGAUGUGUUUCCCUUAAGACCAAGUAAGGACAGCAUGCUCGGAGAGCUCGAACCUGUUGCCCUGGUGGAAGGGGGGCACCCUAGAAUUGCCGAGCCGCAGCGUGGAGGCCGUGGAAAGGGCAGUGACAUCCUGGUGGUAGCACUAAUUCCACAGCCUCUACAAACAUGCGUGACCAGCCAUGUUCUCCAAUAAAGACUGAUGACUAAUAGAUCUGUGAGACCAGGAGCAGAUGGAAAGUUCAGCAGACAGAAGUAGGGUGCAGCGUGAGGUGUCACCUUUACAACUGACAAGAAGCAGCAUCCCUUGGGAUGGGUUGGCGUGAGUCUAGAGAGACUCCAUCAGCCACAUAGAACACCAGCCAAUGUGCACACCACAUACAGCUGACCUGGAACUAGCCGUUGAUUCCAGACACACCACAGCUUGCUACUCCUUGAAUCACUUGAGGAUUUUUCCUUUAGUCUUGAAAACGUUAUUACAUGAUGGCAUACUGGAGACAUUCUAAGCACUUGACUAAUGCAAACUAUUGGAAGCAUCUUGGUAAACUUAUGUGGCAGGUGCUAAGAACAGAUCUCAUAGCUAUGAAAUGUAAACCUAGGCAGGGUGAGUUCAUGCUCCUAAUCACAGUGCUUCUCAGCUAAAUCACAUGCAUUCUUCAAGACUUGAGUCUCAU
Non-coding RNA from Peromyscus maniculatus bairdii (prairie deer mouse), 733 nucleotides. The record is from RefSeq and is a predicted model, not a curated record. NCBI's taxonomy places the organism in Eukaryota, Metazoa, Chordata, Mammalia, Rodentia, Cricetidae.